UAGGGAAUCUUCCACAAUGGACGCAAGUCUGAUGGAGCAACGCCGCGUGAGUGAAGAAGGUUUUCGGAUCGUAAAGCUCUGUUGUUGGUGAAGAAGGAUAGAGGUAGUAACUGGCCUUUAUUUGACGGUAAUCAACCAGAAAGUCACGGCUAACUACGUGCCAGCAGCCGCGGUAAUACGUAGGUGGCAAGCGUUGUCCGGAUUUUUUGGGCGUAAAGCGAGCGCAGGCGGAAGAAUAAGUCUGAUGUGAAAGCCCUCGGCUUAACCGAGGAACUGCAUCGGAAACUGUUUUUCUUGAGUGCAGAAGAGGAGGGUGGAAUUCCAUGUGUAGCGGUGGAAUGCGUAGAUAUAUGGAAGAACACCAGUGGCGAAGGCGACUCUCUGGUCUGCAACUGACGCUGAGGCUCGAAAGCAUGGGUAGCGAACAGG
RNAcentral lists this ribosomal RNA (429 nucleotides) under bacterium. RNAcentral's name for it is "partial 16S ribosomal RNA". It matches the Rfam family "Bacterial small subunit ribosomal RNA", at positions 355 to 776 of the family's 1533-position model. The record is from RNAcentral.